Molecule: long non-coding RNA, 630 nt
Organism: Symphalangus syndactylus (siamang)
Lineage: Eukaryota; Metazoa; Chordata; Mammalia; Primates; Hylobatidae
Source: RefSeq, a predicted model, not a curated record
CCUUUCUUAUAGAUUCGCAUAUGCGUGGCCAAAGGAACAACUCCAUGUUUUCUAAAAGGCCUAGAGAAUAUAUAUCGGGUGCCUCUCCUCUUUCCGUUUGUGUUUGUCAUUUUGGUGAAUUACUGGAAGAUGGCGGUUCUGGCCGAAAGGCGGUCUGGUGGUUUUAAAAGCGGCAGUUUCCCUGUGCACUCUCUCUCCUUUGGCCUUGUGAAGAAGGCAUUUGCUUCUCCGUCAUCUUUCGUCGUGAUUGUACUUUCCUGGGGCAUCCCCAGCCAAGCAGAACUCAGAAAGUGACUGAAAGACAGAAGCAUUUGGGACACAUAACAGAAGUCAUUAAAAAGAGCCAUGUAAUAUGUGCCUGCUUCCCCUUCUGCCAUGAUUGUAAGUUUCCUGAUGCCCUCCCAGCCAUGCAGAACUAGGAAGAAAACACCAAGUCUCACUCCAUCACCCAGGCUGGCGUGCAGUGGGCAAUCUUGGCUGAAUGCUACCUCUGCCUCCCAGAUUCAACAGAUUCUCAUGCGUCAGCUUCCCUAGUAGUUGGGAUUACAGGCACUUGCCACCACGCCCAUUUUGUGGGUUUUAAAAGAGGCCAACAGAUGACCUCUCUACCUGCUACUGCGACUUAAUUCA